This 761-nucleotide ribosomal RNA is filed under the name uncultured Bacteroidota bacterium. RNAcentral describes it as "bacterial SSU rRNA". It matches the Rfam family "Bacterial small subunit ribosomal RNA", at positions 102 to 865 of the family's 1533-position model. The record is from RNAcentral. Lineage: Bacteria; Pseudomonadati; Bacteroidota.
ACGGGUGCGUAACGCGUAUGCAACCUACCUCAUACUGGAGGAUAGCCCCUGGAAACGGGGAUUAAUACUCCAUAGUAUCACAAUUUCGCAUGUUAUUGUGAUUAAAGUUUUUCGGUAUGAGAUGGGCAUGCGUCCCAUUAGCUUGUUGGUGAGGUAACGGCUCACCAAGGCAACGAUGGGUAGGGGGCCUGAGAGGGUGGUCCCCCACACUGGUACUGAGACACGGACCAGACUCCUACGGGAGGCAGCAGUGAGGAAUAUUGGUCAAUGGAGGAAACUCUGAUCCAGCCAUGCCGCGUGCAGGAUGACUGCCCUAUGGGUUGUAAACUGCUUUUAUAUAGGAAGAAACACUCCCACGUGUGGGGGCUUGACGGUACUAUAUGAAUAAGGAUCGGCUAACUCCGUGCCAGCAGCCGCGGUAAUACGGAGGAUCCAAGCGUUAUCCGGAAUCAUUGGGUUUAAAGGGUCCGCAGGCGGCCUGUUAAGUCAGAGGUGAAAUCCUACAGCUCAACUGUAGAACUGCCUUUGAUACUGAUAGGCUUGAGUUAUUGUGAAGUGGUUAGAAUGUGUGGUGUAGCGGUGAAAUGCUUAGAUAUCACACAGAAUACCCAUUGCGAAGGCAGAUCACUAACAAUAUACUGACGCUCAUGGACGAAAGCGUGGGGAGCGAACGGGAUUAGAUACCCCGGUAGUCCACGCCGUAAACGAUGGAUACUAACUGUUCGACCUUCGGGUUGAGUGGUCAAGCGAAAGUGAUAAGU